This 76-nucleotide transfer RNA is filed under the name Solimonas aquatica. RNAcentral describes it as "tRNA_Ala_CGC". It matches the Rfam family "tRNA". Rfam says of the family: Transfer RNA (tRNA) molecules are approximately 80 nucleotides in length. Their secondary structure includes four short double-helical elements and three loops (D, anti-codon, and T loops). The record is from RNAcentral. Lineage: Bacteria; Pseudomonadati; Pseudomonadota; Gammaproteobacteria; Nevskiales; Nevskiaceae. RNAcentral also lists the same sequence under 1 other name.
GGGGACGUAGCUCAGCUGGGAGAGCGCCGCGUUCGCAAUGCGGAGGUCGAGGGUUCGAACCCCUUCGUCUCCACCA